This is a small nuclear RNA of Balaenoptera musculus (blue whale), 107 nucleotides long. The record is from Ensembl. Lineage: Eukaryota; Metazoa; Chordata; Mammalia; Artiodactyla; Balaenopteridae.
GUGCUCACUUGGGCAACACAUACACUAAAACUGGAACGAUACAGAGAAGAUUAGCCUGGCCCCUGCACAGGGAUGCCAUGCAAAUCCGUGAACCACUGCAUAUUUUU